GCUUCGGCCGAUUUCUAAGAUGGACAGCGGCGAAAGGGAGAGUAAUGAGUGGAUUACCUACCCCCAGGACCGGGAUAGCUGUGGGAAACCGCAGGUAAUACCGGAUAAUAUCUCCGGAUCAAAUGGUGAGAUUCCGCCAGGGGAUGGGUCCGCUUCCUAUUAGCUUGUUGGUGGGGUAACGGCCUACCAAGGCAACAAUGGGUACCGGGUGUGAGAGCAUGGCCCGGCUCACUGGGACUGAGACACUGCCCAGACACCUACGGGUGGCUGCAGUCGAGAAUCUUCCGCAAUGGGCGAAAGCCUGACGGAGCGACGCCGCGUGCGGGAUGAAGGCCUUCGGGUUGUAAACCGCUGUCAGUUGGGAGGAAAUCUAUGGGGGUUAUCCCCCAUAGUUGACCUAUCUUCAGAGGAAGGACGGGCUAAGUUCGUGCCAGCAGCCGCGGUAAGACGAACCGUCCAAACGUUAUUCGGAAUCACUGGGCUUAAAGGGUGCGUAGGCGGCUUGGCAAGUUGGGUGUGAAAUCCCUCGGCUCAACCGAGGAACUGCGCUCAAAACUGCCAAGCUAGAGGAAGAUAGAGGUGAGCGGAACUAAUGGUGGAGCGGUGAAAUGCGUUGAUAUCAUUAGGAACACCUGUGGGCGAAAGCGGCUCACUGGGUCUUUUCUGACGCUGAGGCACGAAAGCUAGGGUAGCGAACGGGGAUU
RNAcentral lists this ribosomal RNA (704 nucleotides) under uncultured bacterium. Its description in RNAcentral is "bacterial SSU rRNA". It matches the Rfam family "Bacterial small subunit ribosomal RNA", at positions 66 to 779 of the family's 1533-position model. The record is from RNAcentral.